GCACCCCUAGCUCAACUGGAUAGAGCAUCGGACUACGAAUCCGAAGGUUGGAGGUUCGAAUCCUCCGGGGUGUAC
This 75-nucleotide transfer RNA is filed under the name Adhaeretor mobilis. RNAcentral describes it as "Planctomycetes bacterium HG15A2 tRNA-Arg". It matches the Rfam family "tRNA". Rfam says of the family: Transfer RNA (tRNA) molecules are approximately 80 nucleotides in length. Their secondary structure includes four short double-helical elements and three loops (D, anti-codon, and T loops). Further hydrogen bonds mediate the characteristic L-shaped molecular structure. tRNAs have two regions of fundamental functional importance: the anti-codon, which is responsible for specific mRNA codon recognition, and the 3' end, to which the tRNAs corresponding amino acid is attached (by aminoacyl-tRNA synthetases). tRNAs cope with the degeneracy of the genetic code in two manners: having more than one tRNA (with a specific anti-codon) for a particular amino acid; and 'wobble' base-pairing, i.e. permitting non-standard base-pairing at the 3rd anti-codon position. The record is from RNAcentral. Lineage: Bacteria; Pseudomonadati; Planctomycetota; Planctomycetia; Pirellulales; Lacipirellulaceae.